UGAGGAAGACAGGCAAUCGCGGGUUGGAAGAUCCGAGGAAAGUCCGAACUCCACAGAGCAGAAUGCUGGCUAACGGCCAGUGAGGGUGACCUUAAGGACAGUGCAACAGAAACAUACCGCCGGGAAUAGAACAGAUGCGAAGCUCCCGGUAAGGGCGAAAUGGUGAGGUAAGAGCUCACCAGCAGGCGGGUGACCGUCUGGCUGGGCAAACCCCAUUUGGAGCAAGACCAAACAGAGGGAAUAGUCUACCGGCGUCCGGUAGGCUAGCGGGCUGCUCGUUCGUUAACCUUCGGGUUGGUUGCUUGAGGCGUCAGGUAACUGGCGUCCUAGAUAGAUGAUUGCUGCCUAUGGCAUUGAGAAGUGCUGUGGGUACAGAAUUCGGCUUAUGGCUUCCUCAACUC
This 401-nucleotide RNase P RNA is filed under the name Ktedonobacteraceae bacterium. RNAcentral describes it as "RNase P RNA component class A". It matches the Rfam family "Bacterial RNase P class A". From Rfam's summary of the family: Ribonuclease P (RNase P) is a ubiquitous endoribonuclease, found in archaea, bacteria and eukarya as well as chloroplasts and mitochondria. Its best characterised activity is the generation of mature 5'-ends of tRNAs by cleaving the 5'-leader elements of precursor-tRNAs. The record is from RNAcentral. Lineage: Bacteria; Bacillati; Chloroflexota; Ktedonobacteria; Ktedonobacterales; Ktedonobacteraceae.